UACGGAGGGUGCAAACGUUGCUCGGAAUCAUUGGGCGUAAAGCGCACGUAGGCGGACCAUCGAGUCGGAUGUGAAAUCCCUCGGCUUAACCGAGGACGUGCAUUCGAAACUGAUGGCCUUGAGUACGAAAGAGGAUCGCGGAAUUCCCGGUGUAGAGGUGAAAUUCGUAGAUAUCGGGAGGAACACCAGUGGCGAAGGCGGCGAUCUGGGUCGAUACUGACGCUGAGGUGCGAAAGCGUGGGGAGCAAACAGG
RNAcentral lists this ribosomal RNA (253 nucleotides) under uncultured bacterium. RNAcentral's name for it is "partial 16S ribosomal RNA". It matches the Rfam family "Bacterial small subunit ribosomal RNA", at positions 524 to 776 of the family's 1533-position model. The record is from RNAcentral.